GCCCCAAGCUUGUACUCCAAUCCAAGACUGGGGGCUUUUCCCCUGUUAAAUGCAUGGAGGGUAACAUAGCUUGUCUUGGGUUUGAUUGUUUUUUUUUUUCUUUUUAAUUUUCUCUUUACUAUAUGGCUUUUCUAUGAACUUAGAUGUAGAUACAACCACUUACUCCUCAUGUUCUAUCACAGACCAUCAUGAUAACUGUCUUCCAAUCCCCUGGGUUAUUUCAAUUUGCUGUUGCAGAAGAAGUGACUGCAGAAAAAGUGACUGGAGUGCUGCACUAGCAAUGUUACGGUGAAGAGACAUUCAUGGUUCAAUGCUCACUAGAUGCUGAAAUCUUAAAUCUCGAGCUUGGAGACCCAGUUCCUGGUACAACUCUGUUUUUUUUCUUUCUACCAAGGAGAUUUUUAAAAAAAAAUAGGAACAGCAGAGACUCCCUAUGCCUGAAGAAGGGUGACUGUGCCUGAAAGCUUGCCAAGAACUUUUUUCCAACUACUCAGUUGGUCUAAUAAAAGAUAUCACAUCUACUCAAAGAACCUUGCCUGUCCGUGUCCUUAGACCAACACAGCUACAACCAAAAACCUCUUCCUAUUUGAAGGAUAUAUUGUGUUAUACAAACAACAGCAGAAACUAACCGUGUAUACAAAGAGCAAAAUAAAAAUAUUUUUUCCUCAUA
Molecule: long non-coding RNA, 670 nt
Organism: Alligator mississippiensis (American alligator)
Lineage: Eukaryota; Metazoa; Chordata; Crocodylia; Alligatoridae
Exons: 3
Source: RefSeq, a predicted model, not a curated record